Molecule: unclassified non-coding RNA, 402 nt
Filed under: soil metagenome
Description: partial contains 5.8S ribosomal RNA, internal transcribed spacer 2, and large subunit ribosomal RNA
Rfam family: 5.8S ribosomal RNA (bases 1-121)
Source: RNAcentral
GAUGAAGAACGUAGCGAAAUGCGAUAAGUAAUGUGAAUUGCAGAAUUCAGUGAAUCAUCGAAUCUUUGAACGCACCUUGCGCCCUUUGGCUAUUCCGAAGGGCAUGCCUGUUUGAGUAUCAUGAACACCUCAACUCUCAUGGUUUGCCAUGAUGAGCUUGGACUCUGGGGGUCUUGCUGGCCUAUGGUCAGCUCCUCUCAAAUAAAUCAGCUUGCCAGUGUUUGGUGGCAUCACAGGUGUGAUAACUAUCUACGCUUGUGGUGUUCCAUCAGGUAACCUUCAGUGAUGGAGGUUCGCUGGAGCUCAUAAAUGUCCCUCCUCAGCGAGGACAGCUUUUUGAACGUUUGAUCUCAAAUCAGGUAGGACUACCCGCUGAACUUAAGCAUAUCAAUAAGCGGAGGA